This 406-nucleotide ribosomal RNA is filed under the name uncultured bacterium. Its description in RNAcentral is "partial 16S ribosomal RNA". It matches the Rfam family "Bacterial small subunit ribosomal RNA", at positions 30 to 526 of the family's 1533-position model. The record is from RNAcentral.
AUUGAACGCUGGCGGCAGGCCUAACACAUGCAAGUCGAGCGAGCGGCGGACGGGUGAGUAAUGUAUGGGGACCUGCCCGAUAGCUGGGGAUAACUAUUGGAAACGGUGCAUAUUACCGCAUACUAUCGGAUUAACCCAUCUGGGAUUAGCCAGUAGGUGGGGUAAAGGCUCACCUAGGCGACGAUCUCUAGCUGGUUGGAGAGGAUGAUCGGCCAGACUGGGACUGAGACACGGCCCAGACUCCUACGGGAGGCAGGAGUGGGGAAUAUUGCGCAAUGGGCGCAAGCCUGAUGGAGCCAUGCCGCGUGUAUGAAGAAGGCCUUAGGGUUGUAAAGUACUUUCAGCGGGGAGGCGUUACCCGCAGAAGAAGCACCGGCUAACUCCGUGCCAGCAGCCGCGGUAAUUC